RNAcentral lists this ribosomal RNA (468 nucleotides) under uncultured bacterium. Its description in RNAcentral is "partial 16S ribosomal RNA". It matches the Rfam family "Bacterial small subunit ribosomal RNA", at positions 28 to 507 of the family's 1533-position model. The record is from RNAcentral.
GACGAACGCUGGCGGCGUGCUUAACACAUGCAAGUCGAACGGAAAGGCCCUGCUUUUGUGGGGUGCUCGAGUGGCGAACGGGUGAGUAACACGUGAGUAACCUGCCCUUGACUUUGGGAUAACUUCAGGAAACUGGGGCUAAUACCGGAUAGGAGCUCCUGCUGCAUGGUGGGGGUUGGAAAGUUUCGGCGGUUGGGGAUGGACUCGCGGCUUAUCAGCUUGUUGGUGGGGUAGUGACUUACCAAGGCUUUGACGGGUAGCCGGCCUGAGAGGGUGACCGGCCACAAUGGGACUGAGAUACGGCCCAGACUCCUACGGGAGGCAGCAGUGGGGAAUAUUGCACAAUGGGCGGAAGCCUGAUGCAGCAACGCCGCGUGCGGGAUGACGGCCUUCUGGUUGUAAACCGCUUUCGCCUGUGACGAAGCGUGAGUGACGGUAAUGGGUAAAGAAGCACCGGCUAACUACGUG